CGGCCGCGUUCGCACCCCAGGGUCUCACCGGCAAGGGAAGGAUAAUGUAGCGGGGACUCAUCUCUCGAGAAGGAGUUCCUUGGGGCCCCAGUGGGGCCCUCGGUGAGCACCCCAAACAGCCAGCACUCUUCACCCAGCCGCUCGCUCAGUGCCAACUCCAUCAAGGUGGAGAUGUACAGCGAUGAGGAGUCGAGCAGACUGCUGGGGCCGGAUGAACGGCUCCUGGGCCCUGUUAUGAUCACAAUGGCAGGGAGAAAGGGACGUCUCUUUUCUCUCUGCCAACUUUCAGUAUAACCAAAAAAUUGUCCCAGGAUGAAUGACAGGUGUGUGCCCGUCAACCCUUCUACCGUGUCCUAGCAAAAAUGGGACGGACGCAACUGGGAGUCACCCCCACUGCCCUUCCACAUCUAGCUCCGACACAUGGCAGGAGAGGCAGUCUUCUCUGGUGGUCGCAGAGACUCUGGCUAUUCAGAUAUGGAGGAUUCGUGAGACCAUGCAGGAGGAGGCAUAACUCCAUUGCUGUGGAAGUCUCUCUAUAGUUCCCUGCCAAGGCCACAACCAUCCCACUCUCGGCUUCUCUGAGAUUCAAACCAAAGGCUGUUUUUCUAUAUUUAAAGAAAACAAGAAAAG
RNAcentral lists this long non-coding RNA (630 nucleotides) under Rattus norvegicus (Norway rat). Its description in RNAcentral is "long non-coding RNA NONRATT026394". Lineage: Eukaryota; Metazoa; Chordata; Mammalia; Rodentia; Muridae. The record is from RNAcentral.